UACGUAGGGUGCGAGCGUUAAUCGGAAUUACUGGGCGUAAAGUGUGCGCAGGCGGCCGCGCAAGUCGAGUGUGAAAUCCCCGAGCUUAACUUGGGAAUUGCGCUCGAAACUACGUGGCUGGAGUGUGGCAGAGGAAGGUGGAAUUCCACGUGUAGCGGUGAAAUGCGCAGAUAUCAGGAGGAACACCGAUGGCGAAGGCAGGUCUCUGGGCCACUACUGACGCUGAGAAGCGAAAGCAUGGGGAGCGAACAGG
RNAcentral lists this ribosomal RNA (253 nucleotides) under uncultured bacterium. Its description in RNAcentral is "partial 16S ribosomal RNA". It matches the Rfam family "Bacterial small subunit ribosomal RNA", at positions 524 to 776 of the family's 1533-position model. The record is from RNAcentral.